GGACAUGAUGGCAGUCACGAAGGAAAGCACCAAGACAGCGGUGCGGCUUUUGGUUUUCAUGCUCGUCGUUGGCCAGAAAGAGGGCUGAGCGAGGUAUCCGGCGGUUGCAGAUCGCGAGGAGGAAGAAGCGUGUCUUCGGGGUCGACUAGACCGAAGGGGAGGAAGCGAGGAGCUUCGCGGCUGCUGGCUCGGUUCCAGCAUCGAGGUGCGAAGGGCAAUCAGCGACCACUGGGUUUUUCGGCAGUGGAGCUCGACGAAGAAGAAGAAUGGUGCGAUGGGCGAAAAGGGAAAAAGAUUCUAGGAUUUUCAGAUCGAGGGUUUGGUUUGACUGUUCUUGGCUGCUCUUCUUCUGGUUCGAUUGGAAGUAAACGCGAUGGAAAUGGGAGACAGUUGGAUUGAAGGGAAACGGAAGAACGAAAAAUGGGCUGUGAUCGUGGCUAACAGCUCCGGAACAAAAAAAAAAAAAAAAAAAAACGAAUGCGAAGAUUUGUCUAGCAGGGUAGGUAUGAAACAAAGGGGGUUGUUGAUUUUUUUUCGUGGUGGUAUCGUGGGAGGCAGCAGCAACUCCGGUUGCUGUUGUGUUGUUUUUCUCUCUUUUUUUUUUCUCUUUUGUUCUUGUUUUGACUGAAAUCGAUGAACUGUAAGAGGAUUGUUUUGUUUGGUGUUUGAUUUUUGACUGGGAAGUGAAGGAGAAGAAGGGUGGAGUGUUCGAUUGAGGGUUGAGUGGGGAAGAAGGUAACCGUGACUGAAGCAACACUUUAGAUGAUUUUUAUUUGAUUGUAAUUGUAUAGAUUUUGGGUUGUAUUUGAUAGUUUAAUUUGUUAAAGGAUGUGUGCAAGCAGUCUUCAGUUUGACAGUCAAAGACUUGCAAGUUACUUGGCUGUCAAAUUCUUUGUAUUUGGUAGUUUAAAAGAAUGAAUUUGGUGGUAUAA
This is a non-coding RNA of Lactuca sativa (garden lettuce), 932 nucleotides long. Lineage: Eukaryota; Viridiplantae; Streptophyta; Magnoliopsida; Asterales; Asteraceae. The record is from RefSeq and is a predicted model, not a curated record.